GUCGAGCGCAGGAAGCAAGUUGAUCCCCUUCGGGGGUGACGCUUGUGGAAUGAGCGGCGGACGGGUGAGUAACACGUGGGCAACCUGCCUGUAAGACUGGGAUAACCCCGGGAAACCGGGGCUAAUACCGGAUAAUACUUUCUUUUGCAUAAAGGAAAGUUGAAAGGCGGCUUCGGCUGUCACUUACAGAUGGGCCCGCGGCGCAUUAGCUAGUUGGUGAGGUAACGGCUCACCAAGGCGACGAUGCGUAGCCGACCUGAGAGGGUGAUCGGCCACACUGGGACUGAGACACGGCCCAGACUCCUACGGGAGGCAGCAGUAGGGAAUCUUCCGCAAUGGACGAAAGUCUGACGGAGCAACGCCGCGUGAGUGAUGAAGGUUUUCGGAUCGUAAAACUCUGUUGUUAGGGAAGAACAAGUUGGGUAGUAACUGACCCAACCUUGACGGUACCUAACCAGAAAGCCACGGCUAACUACGUGCCAGCAGCCGCGGUAAUACGUAGGUGGCAAGCGUUGUCCGGAAUUAUUGGGCGUAAAGCGCUCGCAGGCGGUCCUUUAAGUCUGAUGUGAAAUCUCGCGGCUCAACCGCGAACGGUCAUUGGAAACUGGAGGACUUGAGUACAGAAGAGGAGAGUGGAAUUCCACGUGUAGCGGUGAAAUGCGUAGAGAUGUGGAGGAACACCAGUGGCGAAGGCGACUCUCUGGUCUGUAACUGACGCUGAGGAGCGAAAGCGUGGGGAGCGAACAGGAUUAGAUACCCUGGUAGUCCACGCCGUA
RNAcentral lists this ribosomal RNA (776 nucleotides) under Oceanobacillus sp. Its description in RNAcentral is "bacterial SSU rRNA". It matches the Rfam family "Bacterial small subunit ribosomal RNA", at positions 46 to 804 of the family's 1533-position model. Lineage: Bacteria; Bacillati; Bacillota; Bacilli; Caryophanales; Bacillaceae. The record is from RNAcentral.